GAACAGAAGAAUUUUUGGAAUUUGUCCGCAAGCAGAUACCGUGCCUGAAGCUGCCUGAACUCCCCCUGGCUGCUGCGUUUCCCAUGAACCAGAAUAGCUCUGGAAACUCCAUGCAGCACGAAAGCAAAUGAUGGAAGCUUGCACUGCUUUUAUAACUCAGAAACACUGGCUUGUGCGACCUCCUGCCGGCAGUGCAGCUGGUCACUCUGAUGGAGCAUAUGGAAGCACCAGCAUAGAGAAAACAAACCCCAGCCCUGGAGCAGAAGAUAAGCAGCAGAAUGCCCUUGCACCUUCUGAUUCAUACAGCUUAGGUUACACCUCAAGGGACCCAAGGCCAGGGGACCCAAGUACAGGAGACAACACGGGCCAGCAGAAGUCGGUGGCAGAGCUGGAGGACAAGAAAGGAAAGGAAAUUGAAUUCUGUCGGAUAGCAGCAUUCUUUCGUCUUGCCUUCCAACCUCUAACCAGCCUUGAAAAUGCAUGGGAUGAAGGAUGCGAUGGAAAAACAUUCAUCACCGUGUUGACCACUGAUCAAAAGCACUUAGCUAGGAAGUGCAGGAUCUGCCAUCAUCUUUUAUUUUCUAUAGUCACAAAGCAGAGUAGCUGAUCUGACAUCUGUAAAAAAAUACUAAUAAUAAAAAAGUGAAAACCUCAAUCA
This 658-nucleotide long non-coding RNA is filed under the name Anser cygnoides (Swan goose). RNAcentral describes it as "lncRNA (ENSACDG00005002026.1)". Lineage: Eukaryota; Metazoa; Chordata; Aves; Anseriformes; Anatidae. The record is from RNAcentral.